GAAUUUUUUUAAAUAUAUUAUUACAAUUUAAAUAAUUUCUGCUACAAAGCAAACAUUUUAAAGUAUGACUAUAGCAAUAGAGUAGUGCGAUGGUAGGGAAUGUGCCGAGUUGCGCACUGUUGUGUCCAUUUGUGUCUGUCAGUAUCAUUUAAUUCGCCGUGAUAGAUUCACGCAAUACUACUCCAGUAUAAUAAACUACACAAAAUAAUUUGUUUGAACCAAGUAAAUUCAAUUUGAAGAAUUCAAUCAUAACAUUUAUUUAUCGUUUAACUUGCUAGUGGAGUUUACUUUGAUUUAUUUUAUUUUAUUUUAAGAAAAUAAAGUAAAGGAUUGUUUUGUACAUCUCUAUAUAUAUCUAUUUUAAAGGUUCUAGAAAUUUCUUUGCUAUAUCUACGAUAAACGUUGACAAUUUUAGUUUUAUUGUUUCAGUUCUGUAAGAAUGUGAUUAAAAACAUCAAUAAACAUCUAUUAAUCUUUUAACAAGUAUUAUAUGAUUAAAAUAUUGUUGAAUUAUCGAAGUUGUAUUUGAUAAAUUAUUGACAUCAAUUUUCGUAUUAUUUACUAGAACGAUUUAAAUUAUUUUUUACUAGAAAUUUUGUGAGUUUAUUGUUGUAUAAAGAUAAAAUUUUGUUUGAUUGGUUAAAAAUGUGAAAUAAUAUUUAAAUGGAGUUGGAUGAUAAAAUAUAAAAAAAAAACUAUCAUUCAGUGAAACUAUAUCUGUGUAUAAUGUCAUAAAAAUAUCUGAUUCAAGUAAUAUUGUGGCGCCUUGGAUCUUGGACUAAAACAGACAGAAAUAUUGGAAAUAAUGGAGCCAUUUUGCUUUAUUGAUACCGAUUUAAAUAUCAAUGAUAAUAUUAUAAAAGAUACGAAGGAGAAAAAUAUUACCAACGAAAAUGAAAAUAAUAUUAAUGAAAUCAACAAUAUAAAGAAAUAUUAUGAAGAAAUUGAUUAUACACAUAAUCCACAACAAAGACUUGCAGUGUUAAGUUUUGAGCAAGUACGGAGAUUAAAUGAUGUAAUGAAUGAGGUUGUUAGUAUUCAUGGUAGAGGUAACUUUCCAACCUUGGAAGUACGAUUAAGAGAUUUGGUGACAGUUGUAAGGAGCAAACUGGAGGAAAAUCCGGGUAAUGGUGGAGCAGGAAUGAGAGUACGAGAUAUUCGAUUAAAUGGUGGUGCCGCAUCUCACGUUUUAGCUACUGAAUCCCAACCUUAUAACGAUCUAGAUCUCAUAUUUGGAGUAGAACUUACUAGUGGUCGUCACUUUGAUCGAGUUAAAACAGCAGUACUUGGAUCACUAUUUGACUUAUUACCUGAAGGUGUCAGCCGUAAGCGCAUAACUACUUGUAGUCUCAAAGAAGCAUAUGUUAGUAAAAUGGUGAAGGUCACCGAUGGUGAUAGGUGGUCGCUUAUUUCUUUAGGAAACUCACGUGGACAUCGGAAUGUUGAAUUAAAAUUUGUUGAUACAAUGAAACGACAAUUUGAAUUCUCUGUUGAUUCAUUUCAAAUUAUUCUCGACUCAUUACUUCUUUUUUACGACUGCAGCAAACUUAAGAUUAGUGAAAACUUUUAUCCAACUGUUAUCGGAGAAUCUGUUUAUGGUGACUUUCAAGAGGCUCUUUAUCAUCUUCAUAAAAAACUUAUAUCGACUAGACACCCUGAAGAGAUUCGAGGUGGAGGUUUACUUAAAUAUUGUAACCUUCUCGUUAAAAUGUACAAGCCUGCUCAACCAGAUUACAUCAAAACACUAGAAAGAUACAUGUGUUCGAGAUUUUUUAUAGAUUUUUCUGAUAUUAAUCAACAGCAAGCUAAACUUGAGAAUUAUCUGUGGAACCAUUUUGUUGGUCCAGAGGAGGAAGCUCUAAAAUAUCAAUAUCUCAUGCUACUACACAGUGUGGUUGAAGAAUCAACAGUAUGUUUAAUGGGUCAUGAAAGGCGACAAACUUUAGCUCUCAUUGAAAAUCUUGCUUUUCAAGUUCUUUGUCAAAAACAACAACGAUUGAAUAAUCAACCAACUCCAGUUGGGCCACCGACAACAUAUGUUUAUACAAAUGGAUAUACAAAUCCUGGAUUUUACUAUACUCCAGUAAUUCCAACAGCUUGCUAUACAUGCACUUGCAAUUCUUGGAUGGCGUGUUCCUCGUGAUGCUAUGUUCCUGAUUCAGCAGUAACCAACUCAACUCUAACGUGCUGACAAGUCAAUAAUGUCGACGAUCUCAGUGAUGCAGUCACAAUCAUCGAUCAUAGAUCUAAUCGAUGGCACCACUAUUUGGUCAUUACUAUUAUUUUUGUAAUAUUCAUUAAAACAAUCACAGGAAAGUAUUACUUUCUUGUAAAAGUUGCACUUGUAUUGUCUGAGGUAUGACCAUUUUUCAAUGAGAAUUAUUAUGAUUAGUGUAAUUUUUAUCAGAAAAUAUCAUUGCUAUUCAUGCAUCUAUGACAAUUUUGUAAAAAAAAAUACAGAAAAUAGUAUAGAAUUAUACUAUAAUGUUUAAACUAAUACAAUAUAAUGAACUGAUUGUAGCAGGAAUUAUAAUACUUGUGUUAUGAAGAUGCUAAUGAUUGCAUUCACUUUUUUAUUUAUUAAUUUAAAGGUUCGACUGAUUUUAAUAAUCACAAUUUUAUUGAAAAUUAUUUUAACUGUUUCCCAAUCAUUUAAUUUGCAUUCUGAAAAUUUAAAUAUCGAAAACAACAGAGUGAACGACUUAAUGUUCUAUUUUAUGAAAAUCAAUUAUUGUAUUAAGAAUUGAAGGAAUUUUAUUGUACAUAUGAUAAAGUGAUACAUACAAAAAUAUAUUCUUAAAUAUCAAUAUUCGAAGAUUUAUAUUUAGACAGAUAUUUUUCAUUAUUCUGCGCUCUUAAUGUAUCCAUUAUCAUGUAUACAUUAUAAUAUAAAAAGUAAGAAUAACUUUAUUCAAUCAAAAAAACAUUGUAAUAAAGAAAUUAAAUAUCAAUUCAUAAAACUGAAAUUAUUGAUUUAUAUAUAUAUAUAUUAAUUAUUAUAUCAUAACAAUACUGUUUGUCUAAUGCAGCUUAUAAUUUUUUCUUUGAAAUAAUGAUAAUAAUAAUUAUUACCAUAAUAGUAAAACAAGAACAACAGUAGUAAUGAUGAAGAAAUACACGGAAAUAAACAAUCAUGACUUAAAGAAGACUUUAAAUAAUUCAGCUAAAAUUUUAUUCCCAAGAUCUUCAAUCAUGAUAAUAACUUGGGAUAGUCGGUCCAAAAAUUACUUUAAAAAGUUUUACAAAACGUUCAUGAAAAUAAUUAUAAUCCUAAUAUUACUACUAUUGUGGUCAUUUGUAAAACUUCUGAACUAUUCUAUUUAGAAAUUGAAAUGUUUAUAAAAUCGAGAAAUAUCCAUUUGAAAAAAGUAUUUGUCGACGAUACUUUCAUGAGUACAAAAAAUUGGUAAAAUUUCUCUCUCUCUCUCUGUCUCUCAAUUACUGUUAGUAUUACUAUUUAGCUGUUAUUAUGAUGAUGAUGAUUAUUAUUAUAUUACAGGUGAUGGUAGUACCACUAUAAACAAUGAAAAUGUGAAAAUGGAAUAAACUCGCUUAGUUAAAAAAUUCUUGCACCAUACAACAGAAACAAUGUAGAAAUUAUUUCAUGUGUUUUACACAUCAUAUAUAUUAAAAUACAACGAUAAAGUAUUGCAAAUAACAUCAAAAUUAGAAACUGCAUUAUUAAGUCUGGUAUUUAGAGAACUACGUUCUAUUUAAUAAUCUAUAAAAUAUCUAUUUAAUCUUUGAAAGAAAUGAAUUUAGCUCUAAUGAAAAUUAAUUGUUGUAAAAAUUAAAAGAAAAAUUAUUUGAAAGUGCAGAAAAAAAUUACAAAAUUCCUAUGUACAAGCGAAAAAAUAUCAUUAUUGUUACGUUAAUUGUUUGUGGUGAUCUACUAGUAGAUUUUAUAAAAGGUUAUUCAUAGAAGAAUUAAAACAAAAAAAUUAAUUAAAAUUUAAAAAGUUUCAAAAAAAGCCUUAAUAUAAUUCGUAAAUUAACAAUAAAAAACUAUCAGGCAUAAUUAUAUUAGAACAUUAAAUCAUAUUAGCUUAUUAAGAUCAGUAUAGAAAGUGGUAGAGACUCUAAAAAUUUGCAUUAUUUUUUUUGAGUCAACGUUCAAAAAAUAUUAAUCAUUUUUUUUAAUUUAAUAAUCAAUUUUUCUAACCACUAUUAUUAAUUAUUAUUUUUAUUAUUAUUAUUAUUAUUAUUAUUAUUACGUUUAGCAUUCUUUUUAUUAAUAUUGUGUGGCUGUGAUCACAUUUUGUUUAGAUUUUGCUGUUAAAGAAUACUACAAUUAUCUAAUAAAAUAUCAAUUUGUAAUAAAGAAAAAAUGGAAAAUAAUAAAAAAAAAAAAACAAUACCGUAAAUAAAAGUAUGUUUCUUUGACGAAUAUUUUAACAUGGAAGUUCAAUGCUAUGUUAUACUUAUGCAAGCAUUUUUGGAAUUAUAUUGUUAAAUAUUUUAUAACUAUAUCUAAAUAAAUCAACUGCUAUUUGUAUGAAAGUGCCUAGAUAGUUUAAACCGAUAAGUUGACUGUGUAUAAGUACGUAAAUACAAUUAAAAAUUCUUGCCCACUGUAACAUUUCCGUCAGAAAUGCAAACUGAAAAAUGUGAUAUUGAAUAAGUGCAAAUUGUAACCGGAAUGUCCAGUCAUUCUUAGAAGGCAACAUAAAUAUUUAAAAAAUAGUGAAUAUGAAAAUAGUAAUCAGAAGAGAAAGAUAGAAUAUUAUAGUUGUAAACUAUAUGGUGCUCGAUUGUCCACAUGUAUGUGUUUGUUAAGUUGUCAUAUUGAGACUCUAGUCUCCCGUAGCAACGCUUGCAUAACUUUAUAAGAUAUUGUAAUUAUUUAAUACUGUGAGCGCGAAACCAACCGGGCAAACUCUGUACAGCUGCUAAAUGUAUAUAUAAAUAAUGGUUUGCACAUGUGUAAGAAUUAAGUAUGUAUAUAGUUGCUUAGUCGACCGAUAUCACAGGCAAGAAAAGCAUGUCGAUGUAGUAAUAGUUACAAGUAUUUGCGGGUAUAUAUGAAUCCAUUUCUAAACGUUCAACACAUAGUCAUGGAAUAAAUUUCUGAAUUGUAUUUACUUGGCUCGAUAUCGACUAGUGACCCCGAUUGUCGAUUCGCUGGUUUACACAAAUACUACUUUGCAGCUAAGAAUCAGUCACUUCGUGCUAACUCCGCCUUCUCUUCCUUUUUUUGUAAUGCUCUUAUCCCACUCUUUUUAUAGUUGUGAAGCGAAAGUAAAUCUUAGUAAAAAGACAUUAAACUGGUUUUUCAAGUAUCAUGUCACUAAUGCUAGAGAGUAGUAAUCAUGAUUCAAUAGUUUGUUUGCGAUUACUACUCUUAUAGUUGUAUUAUUCAAGGCACAUAUUUUUAUAACUUAUUCGGCAUCUAUGAUUCAAUUAAUUCCAACUCAUAGGAAGACUUCUUGACCAUCAGCGUACAAUUAAAAGGAAUGGCCUUAAGAUAAUGCAAAACAAAUAUAAUUCUGAUUGCAGUUUUUAACUAAUGUUUUUUAAUUUUAUCUCUUAUGGUCAGAUUCUUUUUUGUUUAAUAAAGUACAAAUGACAGUAAUUAGUGCAUGUGACACAGAUGUUGCUUAAAUUUUUGAAAAUAGAAAAGAAAAAUAGAGGAAAAAGUUGUCUAAUUUAUACCUUGAUUGAUAUUUUCUGGAGUAAAAGACAAAACUCCUAAUUAUGUAAAGUUUGCAUUUGUUAUUAGUUUGAAUAAUUUUUAACUAUUUCUGAAUGUAAUAAUUGACUUUAAAAUAAUAAGAAAUAUGAAUUAAAUACAGGUAUAAACUAAGCAACUUAAUUCUAAAAAUGACUCAAAAAUUCUCCUAACCGAUUUAUCAUAAUUUUAACACUUAUUUAGACUAGAAAAAACUACAUAGAAUAAAAACAGAUAAUCAAUUGAUUGUAAUUAGUGUUAUAUAGUUAGAAACAAUAGACAUACAUUGAAGAACAAUAGGGUACUAAUAAUUUUUUAAUUUAAAAAUAAGAGAAAUUACACGUACGAUUAAUAUGUUAAUGUGUCCUAUAGAAUUGUAAUGACUCUCCUCUGAUUUUAUGAAAAUAAAAAUGUACCAAUAAUAUAACUGAAA
This 6101-nucleotide unclassified non-coding RNA is filed under the name Chelonus insularis. Its description in RNAcentral is "terminal nucleotidyltransferase 5C, transcript variant X3". Lineage: Eukaryota; Metazoa; Arthropoda; Insecta; Hymenoptera; Braconidae. The record is from RNAcentral.